CAUGUAAACCGGGUGGCCGCCGCCCCGUCCUUCCUGAGAAGGAUCGGGGGGGAGGAAAGUCCGGGCUCCACUGGGCAGGGUGCUGGGUAACUCCCAGGCCCCGAUGACCGGAUUCCGGGAAUCGGGGACGGAAAGUGGCACAGAAACAUACCGUCCCGGCUUGUCGGGACAAGGGUGAAAUCGGACGGUAAGAGCGUCCGGUCGUCUGCGGUGACGUAGCGACGGCCAAACCCCACCUGGAGCAAGGC
RNAcentral lists this RNase P RNA (248 nucleotides) under Chloroflexota bacterium. Its description in RNAcentral is "Chloroflexi bacterium (marine sediment metagenome) partial RNase P RNA component class A". It matches the Rfam family "Bacterial RNase P class A", at positions 1 to 228 of the family's 367-position model. From Rfam's summary of the family: Ribonuclease P (RNase P) is a ubiquitous endoribonuclease, found in archaea, bacteria and eukarya as well as chloroplasts and mitochondria. Its best characterised activity is the generation of mature 5'-ends of tRNAs by cleaving the 5'-leader elements of precursor-tRNAs. Lineage: Bacteria; Bacillati; Chloroflexota. The record is from RNAcentral.